RNAcentral lists this ribosomal RNA (489 nucleotides) under uncultured bacterium. RNAcentral describes it as "partial 16S ribosomal RNA". It matches the Rfam family "Bacterial small subunit ribosomal RNA", at positions 30 to 506 of the family's 1533-position model. The record is from RNAcentral.
AUUGAACGCUGGCGGCAGGCCUAACACAUGCAAGUCGAACGGUAACAGGAAGAUUCUUGCUUCUUUGCUGGCGAGUGGCGGACGGGUGACACAUGUCUGGGAAACUGCCUGAUGGAGGGUGAUAACUACUGGAAACGGUAGCUAAUACCGCAUAACGUCUCAAGCCCAAAGAGGGGUAGCUUCUGGCCUCUUGCCAUCGGAUGUGCCCAGGUGGGAUUAGCUAGUAGGUGGGGUAACGGCUCACCUAGUGGACGAUCGCUAGCGGGUGUGAGAGGAUGCCCAGCCACAGUGGAGCUGAGACACGGUCCAGACUCCUACGGGAGGCAGCGGGGGGGAAUAUUGCACAAUGGGCGCAAGCCUGAUGCAGCCAUGCGGGGGGUAUGAAGAAGGCCUUCGGGUUGUAAAGGACUUUCAGCGGGGAGGAAGGGAGUGAAGUUAAUACCUGUGCUCAUUGACGUUACGGGCGGAAGAAGCACCGCCUAACUCCGU